UUUAUUUCAAUCCUUUGGCAUACUCAUUUAUGUUGUUUUGAUUGAUUGUAUAUCUAAAAUCUCGAAAAUGGGGUUAGAAGGAUUAAAGUUUAUAGAUGAGUCAGUGGUACCGUAUAGACUCUUAUGUUUUUCUUCACGUUUUAGGGGCAACGUUGAGUCUAGUGGUUCAGUGAUUAAGUGUUAGUUUUUCCUUAGGUCUUAAUUUUUCCAUUUAAUUUUUUGUUUUAAAAAGUUAAUAACAAAACCCCAAAUUAACUCUCACAUAUUUUUGCCUCACGCUCUCCCUCUUAUGUCAGUUUCUCCCCUUCUCUUUCAAGGUUUCAGAUUUUGAUUUCUCUCUCUCUCUCUCUCUCUCUCUUUCUCCUUUGAUUUUCUUUUCUUCCUUUUUGGGUCCACAUUAUUAUUAAUUUUCGCUCAGUAAGGUUUGGUUGUUCUCUGGAUUUCCAUUAAAGUUAAGUGUCGAAUCAGGAUAGUAAGGUUAAGGUGAAUCAAUUGUUCGUGGGUGCUUGGAAUCACUUUCUAAAGUGUGUUUCUGAAACUACUGCAAUUAGGGGUCGAUUUGAUGUUGGUUUUAUUUUCUCUUUUUCUAUUGUGAAAUAUAUGUGUUGUUUCUUGUACUACCUGAUCUAGUGUAGAAACUUGAAAAUAGCCUGAAAACAUGUAUAGCUGCAGUAGUUAGAAUUUUGUCAGCACAUAAAAAUGUAUUUUAAAUUUUUAACGACAAA
Molecule: long non-coding RNA, 725 nt
Organism: Gossypium arboreum
Lineage: Eukaryota; Viridiplantae; Streptophyta; Magnoliopsida; Malvales; Malvaceae
Exons: 2
Source: RefSeq, a predicted model, not a curated record